UACGUAGGGGGCAAGCGUUGUCCGGAAUUAUUGGGCGUAAAGAGCGCGUAGGCGGUCCGAUAAGUCGGCUGUGAAAGUCCUGGGCUCAACCCUGGAAAGCCGGCCGAUACUGUCGGACUAGAGUCCGGAAGAGGCAAGUGGAAUUCCCGGUGUAGCGGUGAAAUGCGCAGAUAUCGGGAGGAACACCAAUGGCGAAGGCAGCUUGCUGGGACGGUACUGACGCUGAGGCGCGAAAGCGUGGGGAGCAAACAGG
This 253-nucleotide ribosomal RNA is filed under the name uncultured bacterium. RNAcentral's name for it is "partial 16S ribosomal RNA". It matches the Rfam family "Bacterial small subunit ribosomal RNA", at positions 524 to 776 of the family's 1533-position model. The record is from RNAcentral.